GCGGUAUGCCUAAUACAUGCAAGUCGAGCGGGAGCAGCAAUGCUCAAGCGGCAAACGGGUGAGUAAUACGUAUCUAAUCUGCCCUUAGAAAGGAACAACAGAUCGAAAGAUUUGCUAAUACCUUAUAGGACAUUGAUUCACAUGAAAUAAUGUUUAAAGUUCCGUUCGGAACGCUUUAGGAUGAGGGUGCGGCUUAUCAGAUAGUUGGUGAGGUAAUGGCUCACCAAGUCAAUGACGAGUAGCUAUGCUGAGAGGUAGAAUAGCCACAAGGGGACUGAGACACGGCCCCUACUCCUACGGGAGGCAGCAGUAGGGAAUUUUUCACAAUGGGCGAAAGCCUGAUGGAGCAAUACCGCGUGAAUGAAUGAAGGUCUUCGGAUUGUAAAAUUCUUUUAUAAGGGACGAACGAUGUGAAUAGGAAAUGGUUCGCAAAUGACUGUACCUUUUGAAUAAGUAACGGCAAACUAUGUGCCAGCAGCCGC
This 482-nucleotide ribosomal RNA is filed under the name uncultured bacterium. RNAcentral's name for it is "bacterial SSU rRNA". It matches the Rfam family "Bacterial small subunit ribosomal RNA", at positions 39 to 518 of the family's 1533-position model. The record is from RNAcentral.